GGGGAUGGGGGGGGGAUGUGGAUUCUUUUAAGAAUGUGGAUAUUUGGGUCAUCUUUGGCGCCCCCUAGAACGUAAACCGUGGGGUGCAGCGUCAUGAUUUUUACAACUUUGAAUGGCCAUGGGGUGUAGAUUGGCCUGAGCAAAUUUGGUGUCAGUGGGACGAAAGCCUUAGGAGGAGUUAGCCACAUUCCAAUGUGUGCGAAUCGGCAAAAAAUGCAAAAUAGCCCUUUAACCGUACAUUUUACAGAUACGUGCGCAUUGACUUUUUCGUAGAUCUUAUUGAGAUACAUGUGAUUGUCAAAUUUUGUGUCAAUAUGACAAAGCGUACAGGUAUGACAGUCAACAAUGUGUUUUUUCAUCUUAUGGGACAAGAAAAAAUGGACUUUUUUCUCCUGCCAUGGGGGGGGGCGCUCUUUUGGGGAUUAAAAAUUCCUUCACAAAUGUGUUGAUGGCUGGACAUUGCAUCAUCCUAGAAAACUUGGAGGCCAGUGAGGGCAAAAAUAAAAAGUUAUAAGACUUUGAAAUAUGUGGAUUUUAGGGUUAUCUUUGGCGCCCCCUAGAACCUAAACCGUGGGGUGCAGCGUCAUGAUUUGAAUAACUUUUAAUGGCCAUGGGGUGUAGAUUGGCCUGAGCAAAUGUGGUGCCGGUGGAACGAAAGCCUUCGGAGGAGUUAGCGAAAUUCCAAUGUGUGCGGAUCGGCAAAAAAUGCGGAAUAACCCUUUAACCGUACAUUUGACAGAUACGCCCGCACUGACAUUUUUUUAGAUCUUAUUGAGAUACAUGUGUGUGUCAAUUUUUGUGUCAAUAUGACAAAGCGUAAAGGCGUGACAGUCAAUAGUGUGAAUUUUCACCUUAGGGGGCGCUAUGGAGCCAUUUUGCAUUUUCUUGUUUGGGCGACUUCGGAAUAUCAAAUUUUUCACCAGGCCCGGUCAUCCUGCCAAAUUUCAUGAGUUUUCGCCAGUGGGAAGUGGGCCAUUUUACAGUUCAAAGGGGAGGAAAAAGAAGAAACUAGGGCCCCGGUGGGGCACUGGCGGGCCCGAGCCGUGUCGCGCCGCCCCCAGCGCGACCGCCUCCCCCUUCCGAUCGCGUCACACUCAAGGUCCAAAGAUGGUGUGCGCACUUGUCUGUGGUCAUUUACCAUUAUAAUGAAUGGGAGGCACAGUUUCUACCAAAACGCUUGCUGCAGACAAACUCCAUGUCCUUUUUGAAAAAAGUCUGGACCAUGAGUGAGGGCACAAACACAGCUUUGAUAUAUUCAAAUGGCAAGUUGCUCCUCCUUUCGGUUUUGCCGAGAGAGCGAUGCGUUUGAGCCAUUGGGCGACUGGCAGGAAAAACUUAACUUUUUCUCCUGCCAUGGGGGGGCGCUCUUUUGGGGAGUAAAAAUUCCUUCACAAAUGUGUUGAUGGCUGGACAUUGCAUCAUCCUAGAAAACUUGGAAGCCAGUGAGGACAAAAAUGAAAAGUUAUAAGACUUUUAAGAAUGUGGAUUUUUGGGUUAUCUUUGGCGACCCCUAGAACGUAAACCGUGGGGUGCAGCAUCAUGAUUUGUACAACUUUUAAUGGCCAUGGGGUGUAGAUUGGCCUGAGCAAAUUUGGUGCCGGUGGAACGAAAGCUUUAGGAGGAGUUUGCCACAUUCCAAUGUGUGCGAAUCAACCAAAAAUGCGAAAUAGCCCUUUAACCGUACAUUUUGCAGACACGUGCGCAUUGACUUUUUCGUAGAUCUUAUUGAGAUACACGUGAUCGUCAAAUUUUGUUUCAAUAUGACAAAGCGUACAGGCGUGACACUCAACAAUGUGUAUUUUCACCUUAUGGGACAAGAAAAAAUGGCCUUUUUUCUCCUGCCAUGGGGGGCGCUCUUUUGGGGAGUAAAAAUUCCGUCACAAAUGUGUUGAUGGCUGGACAUUGCAUCAUCCUAGAAAACUUGGAGGCCAGUGAGGACAGAAAUAAAAAGUUAUAAGACUUGUAAGAAUGUGGAUUUUUGGGUUACCUUUGGCGCCCCCUACAACGUAAACCGUGGGGUGCAGUGUCAUGAUUUGUACAACUUUGAAUGGCCAUGGGGGUUAGAUUGGCCUGAGCAAAUGUGGUGCCGGUGGAACGAAAGCCUUCGGAGGAGUUAGCGAAAUUCCAAUGUGUGCGGAUCGGCAAAAAAUGCGAAAUAGCCCUUUAAACGUACAUUUGACAGAUACGCCCGCACUGACUUUUUUGUAGAUCUUAUUGAGAUACACGUGUGUGUCAAAUUUUGUGUCAUUUUGACAAAGCGUACAGGCGUGACACUCAAUCAUGUGAAUUUUUCACCUUAGGGGGCGCUAUGGAGCCAUUUUGCAAUUGAUUGUUUGGGUGACUUCAGAAUAUCGAAUUUUUCACCAGGCCCGGUUGUCCUGCCAAAUUUCAUGAGUUUUCACCAGUGGAAAGUGGGCCAUUUUCCAGUUCAAAGGGGCAGAAAAAUAAUAAGAAGAAGAAGACUAGGGCCCCGUUGGGGCACUGGCGGGCCCGAGCUGUGUCACGCCGCCCCCAACACGACCGCCUCUCCCUCCCGAUCGCGUCACACUCAAGGUUCAACGAUGGUGUGCGCACUUGUCUGUGGUCAUUUACCAUUAUAAUGAAUGGGAGGCGCAGUUUCUACCAAAACGCUUGCUGCAGACAAACUACAUGUCCUAUUUGAAAAAAGUCUGGACCAUGAGUGAGGGCACAAACACAGCUAGGAUAUAUCCAAAUGGCAAGUUCCUCCUCCUUUCGUUUUUUUCCGAGAGAGCGAUGUGUUUGAGCCAUUGAGCGAUGGGCAGGAAAAACUUGACUUUUUCUCCUGCCAUGGGGGGGCACUCUUUUAGGGAGAAAAAAUUCCUUCACAAAUGUGUUGAUGGCUAGACAUUGCAUCAUCCUAGAAAACUUUGAAGCCAGUGAGGACAAAAAUGAAAAGUUAUAAGACUUUUAAGAAUGUGGAUUUUUGGGUUAUCUUUGGCGACCCCUAGAACGUAAACCAUGGAGUGCAGCGGCAUGAUUUUUACAACUUUGAAUGGCCAUGGGGUGUAGAUUGGCCUGAGCAAAUUUGGUGUCAGUGGGACGAAAGCCUUAGGAGGAGUUAGCCACAUUCCAAUGUGUGCGAAUCGGCAAAAAAUGCAAAAUAGCCCUUUAGCCAUACAUUUUACAGAUACGCGCGCAUUGACUUUUUCGUAGAUCUUAUUGAGAUACACGUGUGUGUCAAAUUUUUUGUCAAUAUGACAAAGCGUACAAGCGUGAAUCUCAACAAUGUGUAUUUUCACCUUAGGGGACAAGAAAAAAUUGACUUUUUUGUCCUGCCAUGGGGGGCGCUCUUUUGGGGAGUAAAAAUUCCUUCACAAAUGUGUUGAUGGCUGGACAUUGCAUCAUCCUAGAAAACUUGGAGGCCAGUGAGGACAAAAAAAAAAAGUUAUAAAACUUUUAAGAAUGUGGAUUUUUGGGUUAUUUUUGGCGCCCCCUAGAACCUAAACCAUGGGGUGCAACAUCAUGAUUUGUACAACUUUGAAUGGCCAUGGAGUGUAGAUUGGCCUGAGCAAAUGUGGUGCCGGUGGAACGAAAGCCUUCGGAGGAGUUAACAAAAUUCCAAUGUGUGCGGAUCUGCAAAAAAUGCGAAAUAACCCUUUAACCGUACAUUUGACAGAUACGCCCGCACUGACUUUUUUUUAGAUCUUAUUGAGAUACAUGUGUGUGUCAAUUUUUGUGUCAAUAUGACAAAGCGUACAGGCGUGACAGUCAAAAGUGUGAAUUUUCACCUUAGGGGGCGCUAUGGAGCCAUUUUGCAUUUUAUUGUUUGGGCGACUUCAGAAUAUCGAAUUUUUCACCAGGCCCGGUCGUCCUGCCAAAUUUCCUGAGUUUUCGCCAGUGGGAAGUGGGCCAUUUUCCAGUUUAAAGCGGAGGAAAAAUAAUAACUAGGACCCCGUUGGGGCACUGGCGGGCCCGAGCUGUGUCGCGUCCCCCCCCCAACGCGCUGCCUCCCCGUCCCAUUUGUGUCCUCUGGCCAUCGCCCUCUUUGGUAACGCCCAUCAAUGCAAAGACCCUUUUCCUUCAUCGGCGUUUGCUGUUCUUCCUGCCAGUGCGUGUUGCUUUCACUUACACUUGCCACAGCCAGCCUCGUGAGUGCCUAGCCUAUUGGAUAUCACUGUCACCUACACAGGACAGUCAUUACCUUUCUAUUAAUACUUUGUUUUUUAAUUUCACAUUAAUUUCCAAAUUGUAUAAACGACUGGAAAAAACUUGAGCCCCUGCCCCUGUAUAAUCAUGUGCACGUCUCUGUUCUAGCUCUAAGGUAAAUCUUCACUGCUCAUGUUCUCCUCAGAAGCAGUCACCUCACUCCCCUCAGGUUACUGUACACAUGCACCAACUGCCUGCUUCAGGUUUGGAUGGAGCUUCAUGGUUGUCUUUUGGAGAAAUGACCAGUCAAGUUGUGUUUGAAAUUUGAUUUUUUUCAGGGGCAAAAGGAGCCUCUGCAUUCUUGUCAAAUAUGUAAAUAGCAUGUUUUUGCAGGUGCUACAAACCAGACUCUGAGUGUGUGUGUGUGUGCGUGUGUGUCUGUGUGUGUGUGUGUGUGUGCGUUCAAGUCACAUGACAUAUUUAACCGGAUGUAGCUGCAAGACGGAGCCUCGUUGACUCUCCGUUUCAAUUUAUCUCAAAAGUGAGGACCUCAACCUAUAUACCAGUUUUUAAAUUGUGUUGAUAGGCCAAAUAAAACCAGAGUUAUGAUAAAUUAUGUCCGCGAUACUUUUUUUCUGCUUAUUUUGAUCACGUUCGGCGCUCGAUCGCGCUGUAUGAGACAGGAAAACAUAGCAUGCAGAAAUUAGCGACAGGUCUUACAGGCGGAAAAGGCUUGCCAAAGGAAAAAAAAUACACACCACAACAUCUCUCCUAUUGGUGGAAAACUUCACCACAACAACCAAUCCAAAAUUAUAUGGUGACUGAUUGACAAGGGGCGGGAACUUACGUUCUUCCUGCAAUAUGAGAAGGGAGGGAGGGACUCUCAGCAGGGAUGCAGUCUGGGACACGUAGUUGCAAACCUAGCGACUUUGUUGUUAGAUUCAAUGACUUUUCAGACCCCCUAACGACUUUUUUAGAAAGAAAGUGACUUUUAUCGACUCCU
Molecule: non-coding RNA, 5110 nt
Organism: Xyrichtys novacula (pearly razorfish)
Lineage: Eukaryota; Metazoa; Chordata; Actinopteri; Labriformes; Labridae
Source: the annotation of a GenBank genome assembly